RNAcentral lists this ribosomal RNA (500 nucleotides) under uncultured eukaryote. RNAcentral describes it as "SSU rRNA". It matches the Rfam family "Eukaryotic small subunit ribosomal RNA", at positions 1204 to 1727 of the family's 1831-position model. The record is from RNAcentral.
CACGGGGAAACUCACCAGGUCCAGACACAUCAAGGAUUGACAGAUUGAGAGCUCUUUCUUGAUUAUGUGGGUGGUGGUGCAUGGCCGUUCUUAGUUGGUGGGGUGAUCUGUCUGCUUAAUUGCGAUAACGAACGAGACCUUAACCUGCUAAAUAGCCAGGCUAGCUUUUGCUGGUCGCCGGCUUCUUAGAGGGACUAUCGGCUCAAGCCGAUGGAAGUUUGAGGCAAUAACAGGUCUGUGAUGCCCUUAGAUGUUCUGGGCCGCACGCGCGCUACACUGACAGAGCCAACGAGUAUAAACCUUAACCGAGAGGUUUGGGUAAUCUUGUUAAACUCUGUCGUGCUGGGGAUAGGGCAUUGCAAUUAUUGCCCUUCAACGAGGAAUAUCUAGUAAGCGCAAGUCAUCAGCUUGCGUUGAUUACGUCCCUGCCCUUUGUACACACCGCCCGUCGCUACUACCGAUUGAAUGGCUCAGUGAGGCCUUCGGACUGGCUCCAGGAG